RNAcentral lists this ribosomal RNA (912 nucleotides) under uncultured archaeon. RNAcentral's name for it is "bacterial SSU rRNA". It matches the Rfam family "Archaeal small subunit ribosomal RNA", at positions 1 to 922 of the family's 1478-position model. The record is from RNAcentral.
UUCCGGUUGAUCCUGCCGGACCCUACUGCUAUCGGGGUGGGACUAAGACAUGCGAGUCAAUAUGGUAGACGCGGCAGACGGCUCAGUAACACGUGGCUAACCUACCCUCAGAACGGGGACAAACCCGGGAAACUGGGGCUAAUAUCCGAUAGGCGAGGAAUCCUGGAAUGGUUCUUCACCCAAAGGAUUGAUCGCCUGGGGAUGGGGCCGCGACCGAUCAGGUUGUUGGUGAGGUAAUGGCUCACCAAGCCUUUAACCGGUACGGGCCGUGAGAGCGGUAGCCCGGAGAUGGGUACUGAGACAAGGACCCAGGCCCUACGGGGCGCAGCAGUCGCGAAAACUCCGCAAUGCACGAAAGUGUGACGGGGCUACCCCGAGUGCCUUCCGCUGAGGAGGGCUUUUACUUGGUAUAACUAGCCGAGGGAAUAAGGAGAGGGCAAGACUGGUGUCAGCCGCCGCGGUAAUACCAGCUCUCCGAGUGGUAGGGAUGAUUAUUGGGCUUAAAGCGUCCGUAGCCGGCUUAGCAAGUUUCCUGUAAAAUUCAGCAACUUAAUUGUUGACCCGCGGGAAAUACUACUAGGCUAGGAGGUGGGAGAGGUCGACGGUACUUCUGGGGUAGGGGUGAAAUCCUAUAAUCCCGGGAGGACCACCAGUGGCGAAGGCUGUCGACUAGAACGCGCUCGACGGUGAGGGACGAAAGCUGGGGGAGCGAACCGGAUUAGAUACCCGGGUAGUCCCAGCUGUAAACGAUGCGGGCUAGGUGUUGGGGUGGCUACGUGCCACUUCAGUGCCGCAGGGAAGCCAUUAAGCCCGCCGCCUGGGGAGUACGGCCGCAAGGCUGAAACUUAAAGGAAUUGGCGGGGGAGCACCACAAGGCGUGAAGCUUGCGGUUCAAUUGGAUUCAACGCCGGA